GACGAACGCUGGCGGCGUGCUUAACACAUGCAAGUCGAACGGAAAGGCCUCUUUCGGGGGGUACUCGAGUGGCGAACGGGUGAGUAACACGUGAGUAACCUGCCCUUGACUUUGGGAUAACUUCAGGAAACUGGGGCUAAUACCGGAUAGGAGCUCCUGCUGCAUGGUGGGGGUUGGAAAGUUUCGGCGGUUGGGGAUGGACUCGCGGCUUAUCAGCUUGUUGGUGGGGUAGUGGCUUACCAAGGCUUUGACGGGUAGCCGGCCUGAGAGGGUGACCGGCCACUUUGGGACUGAGAUACGGCCCAGACUCCUACGGGAGGCAGCAGUGGGGAAUAUUGCACAAUGGGUGGAAGCCUGAUGCAGCAACGCCGUGUGCGGGAGGACGGCCUUCGGGUUGUAAACCGCUUUCGCUCAUGACGAAGCUUUGUGUGACGGUAGUGGGUAAAGAAGCACCGGCUAACUACGUG
This 467-nucleotide ribosomal RNA is filed under the name uncultured bacterium. RNAcentral describes it as "partial 16S ribosomal RNA". It matches the Rfam family "Bacterial small subunit ribosomal RNA", at positions 28 to 507 of the family's 1533-position model. The record is from RNAcentral.